Molecule: long non-coding RNA, 1699 nt
Organism: Capsicum annuum
Lineage: Eukaryota; Viridiplantae; Streptophyta; Magnoliopsida; Solanales; Solanaceae
Exons: 2
Source: RefSeq, a predicted model, not a curated record
AGUCGGAUAGCCUCCAUCUUCGGUUGUCUCUCCCUUUGAGGAGUAUUUUAUUGAAGUCCUCUAAUUUGUUUUUUUAUAACAUCUUCUUCGCAGGUUUUAAGUAUAGCAUGAAUUAGCUUUAUUUUCGCAAAUAAGAUAUUGUGAGAGCUUCUUCUUUGUAGGUUUUUGGCAAAAAAAGAUAUAUCGAGUCUGCUAAUUCAGGUAUAUCUAUUAAUUCUCUAAAGUUGCAUAGCAAUAUUACUUGUUCUCUCAUGUUACUUAAUUUGAUCGGCUCUUUUUUUGGUUGAUUAAUGGAGGUUUUAGCAUAGAGAACUCUUGAUACAAGUAUAUUUUUUGAAAAAUGAUGACGUUAGUUGGUGAAGAGGUCAAAAUUAUUCUUUUGUUCAUCCUAUAUUUUAUAUUUUUCCACAUAUGUUUUGUGUGGUCCGACUCAGCAUUGAUUAUAACGUUACUUGGGAUAAAGACAAUUUUUUUUGAGAUGCGAGUCAUCAAAUAGAAGAAACAAAGAGAUCAGUAUACAAACAAGAGUGGAAGAAAGCGAUGAAUGUCAUAGGUUGCACUCCUGAGUAUCUCAAUUUACUUCUGAGGAAUGCCGGCGAAAGAGAUUUAAGGAAUAUCUCUAUCAAACUAUUGCAAAUCUUAAAAGUCACUAGACCGAAGCUCUACGAGGAAGCAGCGAAAAAGGUUACACUAUCAUUCCAAGACCCCGCUUGUCAGAUUACACUCCGAUCCCGCUUGUCAGAUUACACUCCUUAUGUUGUUGCUAGGGUGAACCAUUGUGACAUUGUUCUAAGUUACACAACGCUUAUAGAUUAUGAGCAUCAACAAGUCGUCUGACGUAAGUGCUAAGGCUCUCUUUUGAAACUAAAAAAGGCAAGUGCUAAGGGGCUCUUUUAAAACUGAAAAAGGAGGAACGGAUUAAUUAGUAGUUAUUCCAGUUAUAAACUUUUAUAUCCAUUGAAGUCUUUUACAUUAAAUUCCAACCAUAUUUUUGGAAGAACAUGAAGUUGAGAGAAAGGUUCAUAGGCAAUUCAAUGGAUUCUUUGACAAAAGACCUGGUGAGAACGCAGAAGUUGAGACUAAUGACGAACGGGUAAAAAUCUCGAAACGGACUGCCAAGAGUUUUUAUCUCUAAAGUAGAUUUUCUCGACACGAAUUCAAAUUAAUCAGAUCCCAAAGUCGUUACAAAUCAAAAACCAAAAAAUUAUAAUAAUGUUAAUUACUAUAGUAUAGCUUAUCAUAUUCCUUUUGCUUUGAAUUCUCUGGAGCAAUAUUUGAUAUUACAUCCUACAUGAUCACAUUUUUAAUUGGUAAUAUCACUAAUUGAACGACACAAUGCCUCACCUCUCUUACAGAUUAGUUUUACUAUCUGAUGGUGCGAUCUUUUCUUGUCGUGAACCGCACCCUCCAAGUAUGAUUUCUACGGCAGUAUCGAUACAAAUUUUGGAAGCGAAGAAGAAGACCAGUCUGAGCUGCUCACUUUUGAAAAAAAAAAGUAUCCGAGCCCCUUUAAGACGCGAUUUUGCAGAACCUUUUGAAAGAAGCAAGGGUAAAUAUUGUAUCUACAACUUAAUAAGAUUUAAAGAUAAAAGUAGUUGUUGCAUUAGCAGUUUCACAAGUACUUUCAACUUUAUUUUGAGAAAGAUGUAGUACUUUCACCCUUUUUAUUUAAUAUAAAAUAGAAAUCUUGAUCUUCUUU